AGCAAAGCAAGUUUCAGAUCGCGCCCUCCACGAGAACUGCAGCGCCGUCUGCUUACCUGUCACCAGGACUGCCUUUUGAUCCGCAGGAGAAGAAUAAAGAACAACGGAAUAUAGACUUGUCCCAAAACAUGUGCUGAAGGUGGCUGAGGGACAGGAGGAGGGGUGAGGACGUGUAUCAUGGAUGGCACGAGAGAGGCAGGGCCUGGGGAGGGACGCGCCCCCCGGCACAUCGUGGAAGGAGGUGGAUAGAGCUUCAGAGAGGGCAUCAGGGAGGCCGGCUUCUGACCUCUGCUGGGCCGUGGUGAGUCACCGCCCUUGACCAGCUCAGCUAUAAAAGAACAUUCUACAAGAUACCCAGCAAGUACUCCACAAAACUGUCAAGGUCAUCAAAAACGAGGAAAUUCUGAGAAACAGUCACAGCCAAGAGGAGCCCAAGAAGACAUGACAAGUAAAUGUAGCGUGGGAUCCUGGAACAGAUAAGAGACAUUGGGUAAAAACUGAGGAAAUCUGAAUAAAGCAUGGACUUUGUGUAUCAA
Long non-coding RNA from Lemur catta (Ring-tailed lemur), 536 nucleotides. RefSeq lists it as uncharacterized. The transcript is spliced from 3 exons. The record is from RefSeq and is a predicted model, not a curated record. NCBI's taxonomy places the organism in Eukaryota, Metazoa, Chordata, Mammalia, Primates, Lemuridae.